This is a long non-coding RNA of Bombyx mori (domestic silkworm), 6132 nucleotides long. RefSeq lists it as uncharacterized. The transcript has 3 exons. NCBI's taxonomy places the organism in Eukaryota, Metazoa, Arthropoda, Insecta, Lepidoptera, Bombycidae. The record is from RefSeq and is a predicted model, not a curated record.
GAGUUUUCCUCGCAGAGUUACUGCGUUCGAGGAAGUAUCCGCUGGACGUUUCAUUUGAGGUUCCUGGCGGAGACCACGUGCCGUAUGACCCGUAUCCUGGACCGUACUUCUGAAAGCAAUCGCGAUAAUGGAGACCAGGUUUCCGGCUGUCGUAAACCAGGCGAGCAGCUGCCUCCAGCGGCGCCGCGCGUCGGCCUGCGUGUGCACGGCGCGCACUGCGAGCGGCGUGCGGCACAUGACGCCUACCACGAGCUUCACGCACGCGUACGCACGCUUCUGGUAGUGUCCGCGCGAGCGGGCCGCCGUCUCCAGCAGUCCCGGCCUCUCCUCAGACACACCCUGUAUCCAAGACACGUCGUAAUUGCUAAUAGCUAAAAUUGAUCAUCGCAUCAUUUGACAAUAUUGCUCAUUGUGUGAAUUCUCUAGCAUAACAUUUUAUUAUAUGCGCCGAAUUGGUAGAGUCUCUUUGCGACGAGUCUUGACAUGUGUGCACUAUAAAAUUGAGACUUAAAACUCGAUGUCCCAAGGUGGGGUGCCGCCAUUUUUUUCGUUUAUGUCUAUGAACUUCGGUGGCGACUCAACAUCAGGUGGGCCCAUAUUAGCAAUCAAAAAAUGUGUAAAUACACAAAAAAGCAGCAAAGCAAUUUGUUAGUUUCCUAAUUUUGAUCUUAGAGAAAAGUUAGAUAACUUAUUAAAGUAUAUAGCUAAAAAUUAAACUGUUUUUUUGUGCGUUUUAUACUAUCAACAACACUAAUCACGUAACAAGUUACGACAUGCAUACGUGGUGCUGUAACGUCGAGAGACAGAAGAUCAAGCGGGCAGUUUGUAAGGACCAACUCGGCAUUAAUAACAGAGUUGGUCCUUAAUUGUAAUUUCGCAAUACCAGAAGUAAGAUAACGGUUCUAUUAUACUUAUAAUGUCGAGAUUUAUUCGAAUAGGUCAAAUUUAGUACAGCCUUUAGAAACGCAUGUUUAUGUGUCGAUUUAAAUAAAAUCAUUUUACAUACAAUGAUUUUAUGGUUAAGCUCGAUAAAGUAAUGGCUGACCUUGAUAACGUUAUGUAUGCGUCGCUGUUGCCAGCUGUCCUCCAUGAGCAGCAGCGCGGUGAGCGCGUCGGCGUGGCGCCGCAGCUCGUGGCAGUACGCGUACGCCAUCUGCCACAACAGCUCGGACAGAGCCAGCCGAGACCAGCCCGCGUUUUCCCAGCACAGAAACUGUAGUAUACGGAUGCCUUCCUCGCAGCCGCAACACUCCUCUGUCAGUUUCUUCAUGUACGUCCUGAAUGUAAGUUUAAUGUUUAGUUAUAGUUGCAUCUAGUUCAAUUCAUUGAAACGCAUACUAUGAACUACUAGAUGUUAUUAAGUUUCAUUUUGUGAAGAAAAUGCUUAAAAAAUUACUCUAAUGAUUUUUUUAAAGGUAAACUUUUUAAUAGACAAACACAAUCGAGAUGACUAGGUAUAUCAAGAUUAUUGAUAACAGCGACUGAGUCACGAGGACGAGCCAGGCGGGCUAACACGUGUUCAAGGGUUUAUUCUUUAAUUUAAUUGCUUAAAUACCGAUGGACAGAAUAAACUUUCCUUUAAAAGGAGCGAUGGGAUUAUACGUUUUUUCAAAUGGUUGUGAAAUAUACAAGUACCCGGAUCUGUUGUAGAGUAUGUCGGCAACGAGGGGUGACAUGACAUGUCGGUCGGCGGGCGCCACGUGCGGCGGCUCGGCGUACGGGUUGGGCAACGGCGCCGCGCCCUCCGCCGCCGACUGACACCGCCCGCUAACGUCGCAGCACCGCAGCAGAGCGCACACCACCUGCCACAACAAAUUAUUGGUUUAAGAGUGGAAUAUGCAGAAUGGUGGUGGUAGUGGCACCCAAUCUGGCGUGCAAUAUUGACUAAAUUAAAUUCGAAAAUGAGCACCUGGUGUACUUUAGCAGAUUCUGGAUACUGGUAUUUUCCUCCGGACGAUGUAUCAUCUAUACAGGCCGAGAGAAUGAUGUCCAAGAUUUUUAACUAAAAAAAAACAACAAUACAUUUUCAAAUGAUUAGACAGAAAGAUAUCAGUGACAUAACAUGACCACAUAAAUUAAUAGAAAACAAAGCUACCCGGAGUAGUUGUAGUUUCUCCGUGAGUCCCAGGUUGGCGUAGGUGAGGAAGAGGUUAUAAAGCAGCGGCAAGUGUCGCGAGCCGUGUGCAUCGGGGUGCGGGGCGGUGAGCGCCCGCACGCUGCACACGAGCUGGUCCGACAGAGAGAGCGCCUCCUCGCGCGUGCACCACGAGCCGUAGCCGUUACUCACUGUGGAAUACCGACGACAUGUAUAUAAUGGUUUGAUGGUAGUAAUUAAAAAGAAAAGAGACAGUGCGCGAUGCAUGCGAUUUUUAACAGUUAAAAUGGUUUUCAAAAAGUUAUAAUAAGCUUUAAAGUGUUAUGUCAACUCGGUUAAAAAUGAAAAACAUAUAAUGCUUGCUACCUCAACGUUAUUUUGUACCAAGAUACAUAAAUAUCAUAAAAUUUUCUAAGCUAACAAAGAGAUAGAAAAGUGAUCUUGUGAUGCAGUCACAGCCCUGCCGUAGUGAAAUAACAACAGGAGAAAUCAGGAGAAGGAUAUAAAUCCGCAGAAUAUAUCGAUUAAUGAAAAUUGCGUGUAAUAUCGCUUUAUGAACGCUACUGCUUUAUGAACUUUAACAUGAACAAAAACUUUAGCAAAGGCACAUCUCUGCCACGAAGGUUACAUAAAAUUUGUGAACAUUUAACAAAAUCCCAUUAUUACUAUCUCAUUGAUCAAUGAGGAAAUUAAGUCAUUCUACAAUACACACUACAAUUACUGAAAAUAAAAAUUAAAUAUCAUUAGGUGAACUUUGGUUUUUUCACACAAAAAUAAGGACUCACCUGGUGGAUCUUCAAUUGAAAAAUGUGCUAGGAAAACUAUAAUCUUCAUAAAAACUAUUCUGAUUUCCGCUGUAGGGCAUGAUAACAAAUAAUCACAUAUUCUAUGUGGAUAUCUAAAUAUUUCAGUCCCGAACCACGCUCUAAUCGCCGAUGAACACCUCAGAUGUUGACAUAGAAUUUCGUGCCUGAAAAACAUCAACAUAAAUUAUUAUACAGCUAACUGACGUUUUACACACACAAACACAUACAACCUCAAAAGUAAUUUACCAGUCAGCCGCAGGUCCUCGCAAUGUUUUCUUUGUUCGAAAUCCCACUUGGAAUAAAAACCGAGUUGCCAAUUGUACCGCUAGCAUUGACAUUUCCUCUUGUUCAGGCCCCUAAAACAUUACGAAAUGAAUUACACGCACUAAGAUUAAGGCAACAAGAUCCAAAAACCUUAAAGAUAGAUAUCUUGAGUGAAUAAAGAAACAAAACUUUCACACCUAUGUACAUAGGUAUUGAAGUAUUAAAAGUACUUUGUACAAGUACUAAAACACGGGAAAUCUUAAAAAGGGCUUUUAACACAUAUUUAGGAUUCAACAUUGCAAUUCCUUUGCACAUCUUAUCAUUUUGUCGUCCGGCAACACCACAGUGGUGUCGUGUGCAAAAUAGAGGCCAACGGCAGGCCACACCACAGAACUUAUGAGAACUAACAAUGAGAUUAGUAAAACUUAACAAUUUAUAAUUACACGAUAAUGUCAAGAAAGGCCGGCGAAAAGUCAAGUAAUCCGAAUUAGCGCUGUCGACGCCCAGCGAGUAAAUUUUUACAAGAAGUGCUGACGGCAAAGUGUUAAAAUCUAAAAGCAGUGUUAUCUACUUACCCAAACAGUACUUUGUUGUACACAACCAUGUGUCAGUUGUAAUCUCAUACAACACAAUUUUUUCAUAAAAUUGAAAUGUUCGAGACUAAAUUGAUCUUGAUUAUGGGAGAAUGCAAUAUUGCUUCGACGUACUGACAUCCAAAUCGGCUGAGGUAUGGCACUUUCCCUAUAAUUAAUAUCACAACUUUAAAAAAAGCUAAAGAUAUGAAAUUAGUUUCUUAAUAAUGAUCAAAUAACUUACUUGAGUGUUAGAUUACGCAUUGAUUGCUCGAGACCGACUGUUUCUAUAGUAUCCUUCCUGGUAUAAAAUAGCAUGUAGGCAUUCCACCAUCGUUUUUGUCGUUUAUAUGAAAUCCUUUUCAACAUUGGAUCGUAAACCUAGAACAUUGUCAAGUUACGUACAGUUCAUACGUUAAAUAAGAAAGGCGUGUUAUUUAAUUAUUUCGUGGGUAGUAUUGUUUAUAUCAUAGAGAUCCUUACCUCUCCCAUAUAUUCACCACCAAAGCAUUGCGCCUUCAUUUCUUCAUCAUCGUGCAUUGCACACUCCGAUACAUCGCCAUCGUCUAAUUUUACCCAACGGCCAGUUUCGCUUCCGUUAUCCCUGUUUCAAUAGCCGUUCAUUAUUUUAUCAAUUUUUCAAUAAAUAAAGCUGCCUAUUCCUAUUUUUAUUUUGUAAUUUAAAAAUACCUUAAGAGCACGUAUGAAUAAUAGUGCCCACCGGAAGCCUGGCCGGAGUGUACAACGAUCCCGCUGAGUUGAUAAUUUGUUUCAGGCGUCCGCUCCUCGCCCCCCUCCCAUAGAGUCGAGUCACCUUCCGCUCGUGCUAGGCCCCACGCUAAAAUUAUUCCAAUAUUGUAAUAAUAAUAGCAAUAAAAAAAAAAUGUUUCUUGAGUUCAGAAGUGGGAUGCUUUUUUAAAUAAUAUUGAAUUACUUCACGUCUAACCUACGUAGAUUGACCAAAAAGGGGAACAGGAGUAAUAUUAUUUCGCGUUAAUUCAAGAAAAUCAAUAUAUUUUAAUAUAGCACUUUACAAAAUCUGACCUGUAUAAGGUUCGACGUCCAAGUCUCUCGGGAAUUCAAAAUAGUCAUUGAAUUUUAUUGCACACACUUUUUCGAAAUCAUAUUCAAAUCUUUUCAAUUGUAUAACUAAUACUGGGGGCAGUUUGUUCAGACAUAACCUUUUCACUGUCACCACCUUUACAUGAAAACAAAUAUUAUUGGUAAAUCAGUAAAGUUUAAUACUAUGUAUUGGUAUUACUAUGAAAAAUCAGGUCGUACCUUUUUAUUGCAUUUAUCACAGUGAUAAGCAUCAGCACCUUCUAACAGUUCACCACGGACAUAAGCUUCUAAUGAUUCUUGGAGACGUGACAUAUUUCUAAUAUCUAAAGACACAACACUGAACGGCUCUUCCUUACAGUAUCUGUAACAUUAAUAUUUCAAUAAGUAUUGUGUAUUCGACAUUAUCAUGAGGUGCAAUUACAGAUUUAGUAAAGUAUAAAAAACUAAUCUAAAUGGGUUACACAAUUGCUAAUAAGAUAUUACCUAUGCGGACAGCCUUUGCAGAUCUUUUGAUCAGAGUAAGUUCCUCCCAUCGUUUUUGCCAUCAAUUGAUCCUGUCCCAAAGACUUCAGAGCUUCAUCUAACGACUCGACCAACGACAUGAAAAAUUCAACUGCAUCCUGCUGUUCACGCAAGUUUACCGGUUCGCCCUGUAACCUAAAGUACAUUGAUACUGAAGUACAGGGCUACGACAUUAAAGUUUACAACUGAAAGUCUCAUAACAUGAGCACAUCAUUACCUAAAAUGGGCCCAUAAUCCUCUUGGAACAUAGUAUUGCAGUUUGCUGCAAUGUAAAUGUGCAAAUAUCGCCUGUACUUGUUUCAAUAUUGUGAUGUUAUAGUCAGUAUUAUUCUGAAAAUAUUCAUGAAUAUUAAAUUUGAAUUUUGUAUUGUAUAUUAACACAAUACAACCUUUGAUUACAAAGGUUUGGUGCAAAACUAACCUCUAUAUUAUUUUCUAAAAUACUGUGAUGGUGACUUUCUCCAGAAAAAUCUUCGUUGGGAUCUGUUGCUGCUCCUGUGUUGUUUUUUUGAUAAAUUAUAAUUACAUUAAUUUAAUAAAAACCUCCCAAUUAAAAAUUUUACAGUAUGUGAUUUUCAAUAAAGGGUAUUUUCUUCGCGAGCCAUCAUUAAGACAAAGGGACAUAUUUAAAACUACUUUUACGGUUUAAUUUCGCGCUCACACAUAGCAUAACAUUGAAAGGUCGACGAAUAACACCUCAAUGCAACAAAUAACACCUGAGACGUCCGUGACCACAAAAGGUAAAAUAGAGUAUUUGAAUCAUCGUAAAUAAUAUAAUGACAAUAAAUAUGUAAUGAUAGCAUAACUGUAA